AUUGAACGCUGGCGGCAGGCUUAACACAUGCAAGUCGAGCGAGCGGCGGACGGGUGAGUAAUGUCUGGUAAACUGCCUGAUGGAGGGGGAUAACUACUGGAAACGGUAGCUAAUACCGCAUACUAUCCCAUUUGCCCAGAUGGGAUUAGCUAGUGGGUGGGGUAAUGGCUCACCUAGGCGAAGAUCCCUAGCUGGUCUGAGAGGUUGACCAGCCACACGGGAACUGGGAAACGGCCCAGACUCCUACGGGAGGCAGCAGUGGGGAAUAUUGCACAAUGGGGGAAAGCCUGAUGCAGCCAUGCCGCGUGUGUGAAGAGGGCCUUCGGGUUGUAAAGCACUUUCAGCGAGGAGGCGGUACUCGCAGAAGAAGCACCGGCUAACUACGUGCCAGCAGCCGCGGUAAUUC
RNAcentral lists this ribosomal RNA (406 nucleotides) under uncultured bacterium. RNAcentral describes it as "partial 16S ribosomal RNA". It matches the Rfam family "Bacterial small subunit ribosomal RNA", at positions 30 to 526 of the family's 1533-position model. The record is from RNAcentral.